Long non-coding RNA from Dryobates pubescens (Downy woodpecker), 328 nucleotides. RefSeq lists it as uncharacterized. Lineage: Eukaryota; Metazoa; Chordata; Aves; Piciformes; Picidae. The transcript has 3 exons. The record is from RefSeq and is a predicted model, not a curated record.
GCCCGGGCAGCUGCAGGGGGAUCCUGAUUGUGGUGGGGGUGGUCUGAGUCCCGGGGCCUGCCAUCACCUCUGCUCUAGCCCUUCCUCAACCCUGCGUGGCCGCUGGCCCUGGGUCGUUUCAUAAAGCACGUCUUUGUUAGCGGUGGGUGGGCUAUAGGGAAGUCCUGGUCUGUUGUGAGGUGCGUCGGGCCCGGUAUGGGGUCACAGAGCCGUCCUCUGAGCACUCUCACUUCGCUUCCCGCCUCAAAGUGAAGAAGUGGAACAUAGGAGAGAGAUGGAAAUUCUUUAAACAGUUUACCCAGGAAAGCCAAGAGCCCUUCGCGAUAGC